CCUACGGGUGGCAGCAGUGGGGAAUUGUUCGCAAUGGGCGCAAGCCUGACGACGCAACGCCGCGUGGAGGACGAAGAUCUUCGGGUCGUAAACUCCUGUCGAGUGGGAAGAAUGCUUCGGGGGUGAAUAACCUCCGGAAUUGACGGUACCACUAAAGGAAGCCCCGGCUAACUCCGUGCCAGCAGCCGCGGUAAUACGGGGGGGGCAAGCGUUGUUCGGAAUUACUGGGCGUAAAGGGCUCGUAGGCGGCCAACUAAGUCGGAUGUGAAAUCCCCAGGCUUAACCUGGGAACUGCAUCCGAUACUGGAUGGCUUGAAUUCGGGAGAGGGAUGCAGAAUUCCAGGUGUAGCGGUGAAAUGCGUAGAUAUCUGGAGGAAUACCGGUGGCGAAGGCGGCAUCCUGGACCGACAUUGACGCUGAGGAGCGAAAGCUAGGGGAGCAAACGGGAUUAAAUACCCUUGUAGUC
Molecule: unclassified non-coding RNA, 466 nt
Filed under: uncultured fungus
Lineage: Eukaryota; Fungi
Description: partial internal transcribed spacer 1
Rfam family: Bacterial small subunit ribosomal RNA
Source: RNAcentral